Molecule: ribosomal RNA, 465 nt
Filed under: Vreelandella stevensii
Lineage: Bacteria; Pseudomonadati; Pseudomonadota; Gammaproteobacteria; Oceanospirillales; Halomonadaceae
Description: partial 16S ribosomal RNA
Rfam family: Bacterial small subunit ribosomal RNA
Source: RNAcentral
CCUACGGGUGGCAGCAGUGGGGAAUAUUGGACAAUGGGCGAGAGCCUGAUCCAGCCAUGCCGCGUGUGUGAAGAAGGCCUUCGGGUUGUAAAGCACUUUCAGUGGGGAAGAAAGCCUUGGGGCUAAUACCCUCGAGGAAGGACAUCACCCACAGAAGAAGCACCGGCUAACUCCGUGCCAGCAGCCGCGGUAAUACGGAGGGUACGAGCGUUAAUCGGAAUUACUGGGCGUAAAGCGCGCGUAGGCGGUCUGAUAAGCCGGUUGUGAAAGCCCCGGGCUCAACCUGGGAACGGCAUCCGGAACUGUCAGGCUAGAGUGCAGGAGAGGAAGGUAGAAUUCCCGGUGUAGCGGUGAAAUGCGUAGAGAUCGGGAGGAAUACCAGUGGCGAAGGCGGCCUUCUGGACUGACACUGACGCUGAGGUGCGAAAGCGUGGGUAGCAAACAGGAUUAGAUACCCUGGUAGUC